Molecule: ribosomal RNA, 253 nt
Filed under: uncultured bacterium
Lineage: Bacteria
Description: partial 16S ribosomal RNA
Rfam family: Bacterial small subunit ribosomal RNA
Source: RNAcentral
UACGUAGGGUGCAAGCGUUGUCCGGAAUUAUUGGGCGUAAAGAGCGUGUGGGCGGCCCGAUUAGUCCGCUGUGAAAGUCCAGGGCUCAACCCUGGAAUGCCGGUGGAUACUGUCGGGCUAGAGUCCGGAAGGGGCGAGUGGAAUUCCUGGUGUAGCGGUGAAAUGCGCAGAUAUCAGGAGGAACACCAAUGGCGAAGGCAGCUCGCUGGGACGUGACUGACGCUGAGACGCGAAAGCGUGGGGAGCAAACAGG